RNAcentral lists this ribosomal RNA (2228 nucleotides) under human gut metagenome. RNAcentral's name for it is "bacterial LSU rRNA". It matches the Rfam family "Bacterial large subunit ribosomal RNA", at positions 609 to 2925 of the family's 2925-position model. The record is from RNAcentral.
UGUAGAAUGGUCCGGCGAGUGAAUGUAACUGGCAAGGUUAAGCACUUAAGGUGUGAAGCCGUAGCGAGAGCGAGUCUGAAAAGGGCGUAAGAAGUCAGUUGUAUUCGACCCGAAACCGGGUGACCUACCCAUGUCCAGGCUGAAGUGCAGGUAAAACUUCAUGGAGGGCCGAACCGACUCCCGUUGAAAUGGUAGCGGAUGAGGUGUGGGUAGCGGAGAAAUUCCAAUCGAACCCGGAGAUAGCUGGUUCUCUCCGAAAUAGCUUUAGGGCUAGCCUUGGAAUAGAUUACUGGAGGUAAAGCACUGAAUUGGCUAGGGGCCGAGAGGUUACUGAACCUUAUCAAACUAAGAAUGCCAGAUAAUCGUUUUCCAGGAGUCAGACAGUGGGAGAUAAGUUUCAUUGUCAAAAGGGAAACAGCCCAGACCUACAGCUAAGGUCCCAAAGUAUAGUUAAGUGGAAAAGGAUGUGGAAUUGCAUAGACAACCAGGAUGUUGGCUUAGAAGCAGCCACUCAUUAAAAGAGUGCGUAAUAGCUCACUGGUCGAGUGAUUCUGCGCCGAAAAUUUAACGGGGCUAAACUAUACACCGAAGCUUAGGAUACCGCAAGGUAUGGUAGGAGAGCGUUCUGUACGGAGUGAAGUCGUAGCGAAAGCGGCGGUGGACUGUACAGAAGUGAGAAUGCCGGAAUAAGUAGCGAGAAUUAAGUGAGAAUCUUAAUGGCCGAAAGUCUAAGGUUUUUGGAGGAAGGUUCGUCCGCUCCAAGUAAGUCGGGAGCUAAGGUCAGGCCGAAAGGCGUAGCCGAUGCACAAACGGUUGAUAUUCCGUUACCGUCUACAAUUUAAACAAAGGGACACAUACAAAGCGUUUAACCCGGGCGAUGGUUGACCCGGGCGCAAGGGACUGAAAUAAGAGUAGGGAAGUAAAUGUGGCGUAUGGCGAGAAAAGCUUUGUGAAUAGAAGUAGACGCCCGUACCGCAAACCGACACAGGUGGACAGGAAGAGAAUUCUAAGGCCAGCGGGAGAAGGGUAGUUAAGGAACUCGGCAAAUUGACUCCGUAACUUCGGAAUAAGGAGUGCUCGAAAGAGCCGCAGAGAAUAGGCCCAGGCGACUGUUUAGCAAAAACACAGGUCUCUGCCAAAUCGAAAGAUGAAGUAUAGGGGCUGACACCUGCCCGGUGCCGGAAGGUUAAGAGGAGGAGUGCAAGCUCCGAAUUGAAGCCCCGGUAAACGGCGGCCGUAACUAUAACGGUCCUAAGGUAGCGAAAUUCCUUGUCGGGUAAGUUCCGACCCGCACGAAUGGUGUAACGAUCUGGGCACUGUCUCAACUACCCACCCGGCGAAAUUGUAGUACCGGUGAAGAUGCCGGUUACCUGCGGCAAGACGGAAAGACCCCAUGGAGCUUUACUGUAGCCUGAUAUUGGGUUUCGGAAAUCUAUGUACAGGAUAGGCGGGAGACUGGGAAGUAUGAGCGUCAGCUUAUACGGAGUCAUUGUUGGGAUACCGCCCUUAGGUUUCUGGAAUUCUAACCUGCGACCGUGAAUCCGGUCGGGGGACAUUGUCAGGUGGGCAGUUUGACUGGGGCGGUCGCCUCCGAAAAGGUAACGGAGGCGCUCAAAGGUUGGCUCAGCACGGACGGAAACCGUGCCUCUGAGUGUAAACGCAAAAGCCAGCCUAACUGCGAGGAUGACGGUCCGAGCAGUAACGAAAGUUGGAGUUAGUGAUCCGGCGGUAUGUGAAUGGAAAUGCCGUCGCUCAACGGAUAAAAGCUACCCUGGGGAUAACAGGCUGAUCUCCCCCAAGAGUCCACAUCGACGGGGAGGUUUGGCACCUCGAUGUCGGCUCAUCACAUCCUGGGGCUGUAUUCGGUCCCAAGGGUUCGGCUGUUCGCCGAUUAAAGUGGUACGCGAGCUGGGUUCAGAACGUCGCGAGACAGUUCGGUCCCUAUCUGUCGUGGGCGCAGGAUAUUUGAGGAGCUCUGUCCUUAGUACGAGAGGACCGGGAUGGACGUACCUCUGGUGCACCAGUUGUCAUGCCAAUGGCACGGCUGGGCAGCUACGUACGGAACGGAUAAACGCUGAAAGCAUCUAAGCGUGAAGCCGACUCCAAGAUUAGAUAUCCCAUUGCAUAAGCAAGUAAGACCCCUUGAGGACUACGAGGUUGAUAGGCUGCGUGUGUAAGUGUCGUGAGGCAUUUAGCUUGGCAGUACUAAUAGGUCGAGGGCUUGACCA